Molecule: ribosomal RNA, 774 nt
Filed under: Bacillus mojavensis
Lineage: Bacteria; Bacillati; Bacillota; Bacilli; Caryophanales; Bacillaceae
Description: bacterial SSU rRNA
Rfam family: Bacterial small subunit ribosomal RNA
Source: RNAcentral
UAGAGUUUGAUCCUAGCUCAGGACGAACGCUGGCGGCGUGCCUAAUACAUGCAAGUCGAGCGGACAGAUGGGAGCUUGCUCCCUGAUGUUAGCGGCGGACGGGUGAGUAACACGUGGGUAACCUGCCUGUAAGACUGGGAUAACUCCGGGAAACCGGGGGUAAUACCGGAUGCUUGUUUGAACCGCAUGGUUCAAACAUAAAAGGUGGCUUCGGCUACCACUUACAGAUGGACCCGCGGCGCAUUAGCUAGUUGGUGAGGUAACGGCUCACCAAGGCAACGAUGCGUAGCCGACUUGAGAGGGUGAUCGGCCACACUGGGACUGAGACACGGCCCAGACUCCUACGGGAGGCAGCAGUAGGGAAUCUUCCGCAAUGGACGAAAGUCUGACGGAGCAACGCCGCGUGAGUGAUGAAGGUUUUCGGAUCGUAAAGCUCUGUUGUUAGGGAAGAACAAGUACCGUUCGAAUAGGGCGGUACCUUGACGGUACCUACCCAGAAAGCCACGGCUAACUACGUGCCAGCAGCCGCGGUAAUACGUAGGUGGCAAGCGUUGUCCGGAAUUAUUGGGCGUAAAGGGCUCGCAGGCGGUUCCUUAAGUUUGAUGUGAAAGCCCCCGGCUCAACCGGGGAGGGUCAUUGGAAACUGGGGAACUUGAGUGCAGAAGAGGAGAGUGGAAUUCCACGUGUAGCGGUGAAAUGCGUAGAGAUGGGAGGAACACCAGUGGCGAAGGCGAUACCCGGUCUGUUACGACACGAGAGCGAAAGCUGAGCACG